This 497-nucleotide ribosomal RNA is filed under the name uncultured bacterium. RNAcentral's name for it is "partial 16S ribosomal RNA". It matches the Rfam family "Bacterial small subunit ribosomal RNA", at positions 28 to 507 of the family's 1533-position model. The record is from RNAcentral.
GAUGAACGCUGGCGGCGUGCCUAAUACAUGCAAGUCGAGCGAACAGACGCUGAGCUUGCUCCUCUGACGUUAGCGGCGGACGGGUGAGUAACACGUGGAUACCCUCCCUAUCAGACUGGGAUAACUUCGGGACACCGGCGCUAAUACCGGAUAAUAUAUUGCACCGCAUGGUUCAAUAGUGAAAGACGGUUUUGCUGUCACUUAUAGAUGGAUCUCGGCCGCAUUAGCUAGUUGGUAAGGUAACGGCUUACCAAGGCUACGAUGCGUAGCCGACCUGAGAGGGGGAUAGGCCACACGGGAACUGAGACACGGUCCAGAGUACUAAGGGACGCAGCAGAAGGGAAUCGUCCGCAAUGGGCGAAAGCCUGACGGAGCGACGCCGAGUGAGAGAUGAAGGUGUUCGGAGCGGAAAAACGUGUUAUGAGUGAAGAACAAAUUUGUAAGUAACUAUGCAGGUCGUGACGGUACCGAAUCAGAAAGCAACGGCUAACUACGUG